UCCUACGGGAGGCAGCAGUGGGGAAUUUUCCGCAAUGGGCGAAAGCCUGACGGAGCAAUACAGCGUGAGGGAAGACUGCCUAUGGGUUGUAAACCUCUUUUUUCAGGGAGGAAUAAAAUGACGUGUACCUGAAGAAUAAGCAUCGGCUAACUCCGUGCCAGCAGCCGCGGUAAGACGGAGGAUGCAAGUGUUAUCCGGAAUCACUGGGCGUAAAGCGUCUGUAGGUGGUUUAAUAAGUCAACUGUUAAAUCUUGAGGCUCAACUUCAAAAUCGCAGUCGAAACUAUUAGACUAGAGUAUAGUAGAGGUAAAGAGAAUUUCCAGUGGAGCGGUGAAAUGCGUAGAUAUUGGAAAGAACACCGAUGGCGAAAGCACUUUACUGGGCUAUUACUAACACUCAGAGACGAAAGCUAGGGUAGCAAAUGGGAUUAGAUACCCCAGUAGUCCUAGCCGUAAACUAUGGAUACUAGAUGUUGAACAGAUCGACCUGUGCAGUAUCAAAGCUAACGCGUUAAGUAUCCCGCCUGGGAAGUAUGCUCGCAAGAGUGAAACUCAAAUGAAUUGACGG
RNAcentral lists this ribosomal RNA (567 nucleotides) under uncultured bacterium. RNAcentral describes it as "bacterial SSU rRNA". It matches the Rfam family "Bacterial small subunit ribosomal RNA", at positions 337 to 916 of the family's 1533-position model. The record is from RNAcentral.